UACAGAGGUCUCAAGCGUUGCUCGGAUUCAUUGGGCGUAAAGGGUGCGUAGGAGGCGCUGUAAGUCGGGUGUGAAAUUUCGAGGCUUAACCUCGAAACUGCAUUCGAUACUGCGGUGCUUGAGGACUGGAGAGGAGACUGGAAUUCAUGGUUUAGCAGUGAAAUGCGUAGAGAUCAUGAGGAAGACCAGUGGCGAAGGCGGGUCUCUGGACAGUUCCUGACACUGAGGCACGAAGGCCAGGGGAGCAAACGGG
Molecule: ribosomal RNA, 253 nt
Filed under: uncultured bacterium
Lineage: Bacteria
Description: partial 16S ribosomal RNA
Rfam family: Bacterial small subunit ribosomal RNA
Source: RNAcentral